UACGUAGGGUGCAAGCGUUAUCCGGAUUUACUGGGCGUAAAGGGUUGCGUAGGCGGCAUCUAAAGUCAAAGCUCAAAGCCCAUUGCCUAACAAUGGAAGGGGCUUUGAUACUUGGAUGCUUUGAGUCUUUCAGAGGUUACUAGAACUUGCAGUGGAGCGGUGAAAUGCGUUGAGAUUGCAAGGAAUACCAAUGGCGUAGGCAUGUAACUGGGAAAGAUCUGACGCUGAUGCACGAAAGCUAGGGUAGCGAAAGGG
RNAcentral lists this ribosomal RNA (255 nucleotides) under uncultured bacterium. RNAcentral's name for it is "partial 16S ribosomal RNA". It matches the Rfam family "Bacterial small subunit ribosomal RNA", at positions 524 to 776 of the family's 1533-position model. The record is from RNAcentral.